Molecule: microRNA, 23 nt
Filed under: Cavia porcellus (domestic guinea pig)
Lineage: Eukaryota; Metazoa; Chordata; Mammalia; Rodentia; Caviidae
Description: cpo-miR-139-5p
Gene: cpo-miR-139-5p
Source: miRBase by way of RNAcentral
UCUACAGUGCACGUGUCUCCAGC